Molecule: long non-coding RNA, 1221 nt
Filed under: Salmo salar (Atlantic salmon)
Lineage: Eukaryota; Metazoa; Chordata; Actinopteri; Salmoniformes; Salmonidae
Description: lncRNA (ENSSSAG00000096339.1)
Source: RNAcentral
GGGAGGAGAAAGGGAGGAGAGAGUGUGGAGAGGAAGGAGAGAGGGAGGAGAGAGUAGAGAGGAAGGAGAGAGAGAGGGAGGAGAGGAAGGAGAGAGUGUGGAGAGGAGGGAGAGAGAGGGAGGAGAGGAAGGAGAGAGUGUGGAGAGGAGGGAGAAGUGUUGUUCAUACACCAGUAUGUCUCAGGAGGCAGGCCUGAGGAGUGCUUUAAGGAUUCUGUCAACAGGUCUUCUAGUACUGCCCUCUGCUCAGACUGUCAGUCUUCCUGCCAGUACUGUCCCCUGCUCAGACUGUCAGUCUCCCUGCCAGUACUGUCCCCUGCUCAGACUGUCAGUCUGCCUGCCAGUACUGUCCCCUGCUCAGACCAUCAGUCUGCCUGCCAGUACUGUCCCCUGCUCAGACCAUCAGUCUCCCUGCCAGUACUGUCCCCUGCUCAGACCAUCAGUCUCCCUGCCAGUACUGUCCCCUGCUCAGACCAUCAGUCUCCCUGCCAGUACUGUCCCCUGCUCAGACCGUCAGUCUCCCUGCCAGUACUGUCCCCUGCUCAGACCAUCAGUCUGCCUGCCAGUACUGUCCCCUGCUCAGACCGUCAGUCUCCCUGCCAGUACUGCCCCCUGCUCAGACCGUCAGUCUGCCUGCCAGUACUGUCCCCUGCUCAGACCGUCAGUCUCCCUGCCAGUACUGUCCCCUGCUCAGACCGUCAGUCUGCCUGCCAGUACUGUCCCCUGCUCAGACCGUCAGUCUGCCUGCCAGUACUGUCCCCUGCUCAGACCAUCAGUCUCCCUGCCAGUACUGUCCCCUGCUCAGACCAUCAGUCUGCCUGCCAGUACUGUCCCCUGCUCAGACCAUCAGUCUGCCAGUACUGUCCCCUGCUCAGACCAUCAGUCUCCCUGCCAGUACUGUCCCCUGCUCAGACCAUCAGUCUGCCUGCCAGUACUGUCCCCUGCUCAGACCAUCAGUCUGCCAGUACUGUCCCCUGCUCAGACCAUCAGUCUCCCUGCCAGUACUGUCCCCUGCUCAGACCAUCAGUCUGCCAGUACUGUCCCCUGCUCAGACCAUCAGUCUCCCUGCCAGUACUGUCCCCUGCUCAGACCAUCAGUCUCCCUACCAGCACUGCCCUCUGCUCAGACUGUCAGUCUGCCUGCCAGUACUGCACCCUGCUCAGACCGUCAGUCUGCCGGGCCAGUGUACCAACCUCAAAUGGACGGAGUGUGUAGAGACUG